Molecule: long non-coding RNA, 2934 nt
Filed under: Homo sapiens (human)
Lineage: Eukaryota; Metazoa; Chordata; Mammalia; Primates; Hominidae
Description: HSALNT0399480
Source: RNAcentral
UAUUCUCACAAUGACAUCUCCAGGUCUUCAAACGGAAGACUACGACACAAAUGGCCUGCCUUCACCGUGCUGCAAUUUCUUCAACAGGUAACUUGCUUAGCCUGUGCUACGUAUUCAUACUGCACGUGGAUGUCACUGAAUGUCCUUUCUCUUCCAAUACAUAUCUGUAUCUAAAAGCACACGGUUUGCUUGCAGAUUUUCUUCCUUCCCUUCUCCUCCCUAUGGGAAGCUGCCCACUCCACCCCGAAAACACUGUCCCCCAAAGCAAGGGGACGCGCUGCACCCUCGGCUGUCACCGCGAGGGCUCGGCGCGCAUGCGCGGCGCGAGCGGCCGGGCCCCACAGCCGCAGGUCGUUGGUAAGGCGGGUCCGCGGACCCCAGGUCGAGCCCAGCGGCAGUGCAGGAUCGCAAGCGGCCCGGCACCGGCGCCGCAGGUCACAUUAGAUGAAUCUGUACCUUGGGACCACCACACCGUUAAUAUAUAAGACUGGAUUACAAUUAAAGGAUGAGGAAGCUUUCUCAAAGGGUGCUUUGUAUGUGUUUACUAGUUGUGCAAACCAUGAACCUCGGUAAUGUGGUUAAUAGACCAUGAAAAGGAUGUGGUUUCUGCCCUCGGCUUAAAACAAAGACAGCAAUAAGACUAAAAGUACUUCAGGGCACAUGAGAGCAAAUUUCAAUCAAUACUUAUAGGAGAGGGAAGUUAAUUUUGCCUGAAGAGAAGAUCUGGCCUGCAUUAUGCAUUAAUUAGUAUUAGCUAAAAACUAUGUGGACCUAGCCCUUAUCAUUAAAAUAAAACACUCAAGGGUUUACAAACUAUUGAAAUUUAAGAAAAUGUCUUUGCAAUGAAUGCUACUAAGACUCACUGUUAUUAAGUACAUACAUAUCAAUUCCAUAAACUCAAUGGAAAACAUUUUACUGUGCUUGUAAAAAGAAGUGACUCAUAAACAGGAAUUCUGUCAUUUUAUCACUUUCAUGAUAGAAUGAUGUGUAGAAUUUGUUUUACAAUGCUCCAGAAAUAAAAUGUAGGGAAUGGAAAGAAGAUAGGUGAAAGAAAAGUGGUGCAACAUCAGUCAGUGUUGAAGCUAAGUUCAUUUUGCUACUUUACCUACUCAUGCAUAUGUUGGAAAAUUUACAAAAUGAAAAGCUAAAAGGAGAGAGAGCAUCUUCAGCAUGAAAGACAGCCAUUACCAAAGCAUUUCCUAUCUUUAACAAAAACUGAAGUCUUAGCCUUCAGACUAAGGAUGGUAGGAAGAAAGUAGCAAGGAAGUAUGGGACUGACCUUGCCGUAAGGAGUCACAGACCAGGCUGUCUCUCUUUUGGCCUGCUGCCAUCCGCGUAAGACAUGACUUACUCCUCCGUGCCUUCCACCAUGAUUGUGAGGCUUCCCCAGCCAUGAGGAACUAAUACCCAUCCCAUAGAUGUACUUGGGAUAGACAGCUUCUGGCACUCCUCCCAAGAUCUCUCCCUCCUGGUAUUCAGGCCCUUGUGUGAUCCUUUCCUCUUGAGUGUGGGUUGGGCCUGGUGACCCACUUCUAACAGAAGAUGGGAAAACUGAUGGAUUAUCACUUCUUUGUUAAGGUUACAAAAACCUGAGACUUCCAUUUUGCUGGAAACUUCUUUUCCUCUUGCACACUCACUCUGCGACUCUGUGUGGAGAGCUCCAUGUGACAAGGGAGGUCUGCAGCCUAAGCAACUGAGACCUCAGCCCAACAGCCCUCAAAGAACUGGAUCUUCAAACAACCACAUGAGUGACCUAGAAGCAAAUCUGUCACCAGUGCUCUUGAGACGGGCUGAAGUAUUUAAUCACCGGCACAAAAUGUCCCAGUGUUCUGUUCUCCUGCUGUGGAAAUUUUAGAGAAAAGAUCAUGAUCUAAGAGUCUACAAGACCAGAGCAGCCUGAAUUGCUGAGCUGCCUGGUGGAGAAUAGCAGCAUUGGGUGGUUCCCAGGAUUCUUAAAAGGACUUUACAAAGGCCUGGCCUAAUCACUUAAGAGCUCUUAAGGAGUGAAUGGGCUCUUCCUGAAAAAAGAGCUUCUGCUAACCCUGAAAAGCAAGCAACAACCCUGUGAACUGCUAUGGAGAGAGAUGGCCUCUAACAGCUGAGGACCUCAGUCCUACAACCACAAGAAACUGAUUUCUGCCAACAACAUGAAUGAACUUGGAAAAGGCCCCUGAGCUCCAGAUGAGAACACCCAGGUCAACUCAGGUCAUGAGCAGAGAACCCUGUUAUAUUCUCCUUGGCUUGUGAUCCAUAAACAAUGAGAUUAUAAAUGUGUGGUUUUUAAGCCAUUAGGUUUGUGGUAACUUGUUACACAAGCCUCUUUUAGAUUCUUUACAUACACAAAUAUAUUCUAAACGAAUAAUGAGUCUUCCUUUCCCAUCUUUAUACCAUUUACUUCUUAUUCUUCCCUUACCGCUUUAAGACCUCUAGUAUAAAGUUGACUAGAAAAGGUGGUAGUGGCAUUAUUGUGUAGUUCUUUAUAUCAAAGGGAAGAUUUUCAAUGUUUUCAUGUUAAGUAUGACAUUUACUGUAGGUUUUUCAUAGAUGCUCUUUAAUCAGUUUAAGCAAUUCUUGUCUAUCCCUAGAAUUAUUGUCAGGAAUAAAUGUUGACUUUUAUCGAACACUGUUUCUGCACCUUUUAAAAAUAUCAUAUUUUUUCCUUCAAAUGGUUACUGUGUUGAAUUAUAUUAGCAGACAUUCUAAUGUUAAAGUAACCUAUCAUUCCAGAGAAAAGGAGGUGAGAAUAGCAGUUUAGUUAUGAUGCUGUAUCCCUUUUAUAAAUUCUUGGAUGCAAUUUGCCAAUAUUUGGUCUAAGAUUUUUGCAUUAUGUUAAUGACUGGAAAUGAGUCUUAAUUUUCCUUUAUUUUUCUGGCUUCUUUGUGUUUCGAUAUCAAGAAUAUGCAAGUCUCAUGCAAUAAAUUCUAUGGAAGAGUU